Molecule: ribosomal RNA, 512 nt
Filed under: uncultured bacterium
Lineage: Bacteria
Description: partial 16S ribosomal RNA
Rfam family: Bacterial small subunit ribosomal RNA
Source: RNAcentral
GAUGAACGCUGGCGGCGUGCCUAAUACAUGCAAGUCGAACGAAACUUCUUUAUCACCGAGUGCUUGCACUCACCGAUAAAGAGUUGAGUGUCGAACGGGUGAGUAACACGUUGGCAACCUGCCCAAAAGAGGGGGAUAACACUUGGAAACAGGUGCUAAUACCGCAUAACCAUAGUUACCGCAUGGUAACUAUGUAAAAGGUGGCUAUACUACCGCUUUUGGAUGGGCCCGCGGCGCAUUAGCUAGUUGGUAGGGUAAAGGCUUACCAAGGCAAUGAUGCGUAGCCGAAUUGAGAGGUUGAUCGGCCACAUUGGGACUGAGACACGGCCCAAACUCCUACGGGAGGCAGCAGUAGGGAAUCUUCCACAAUGGGCGAAAGCCUGAUGGAGCAACGCCGCGUGGGUGAAGAAGGUCUUCGGAUCGUAAAACCCUGUUGUUAGAGAAGAAAGUGCGUGAGAGUAACUGUUCACGUUUCGACGGUAUCUAACCAGAAAGCCACUGCUAACUACGUG